Molecule: unclassified non-coding RNA, 208 nt
Filed under: soil metagenome
Description: partial contains 5.8S ribosomal RNA, internal transcribed spacer 2, and large subunit ribosomal RNA
Source: RNAcentral
AACCAUAGAAACCUGCGGAGUACCUGCGGAGGGAUCAUUAUCGAGUUGCAAAACUCCAACCCUUUGUGAACAUACCUCAGUCGUUGCUUCGGCGGUGGACGGCCUUUUUUCGAAAAGGCCCGAAGCCGCCGGAGGUUCCAAACUCGUGUUUUGUUUAGUGUAUCUCUGAGCCUGAAAACAAAUAAUCAAAACUUUCAGCAACGGAUCU